GAAGUGCGAUAAGCAAUGCGAAUUGCAGAAUUCCGCGAGUCAUCAGAUCUUUGAACGCAAAUGGCGCCGGAGGGAUAUCCUUCUGGCAUGUCUGUUUCAGUGUCUGAGAGGUUUCACCAACAUCUUAAUGUGAUUGACAGCAGCAGCAGCAGCAAGCAAUUGUUGUGGUUGGUGUUGUCUCUCAUGAAAGAUGCGCGAGUGGAUCUUUCGGUCCAAUGAAGUGGUCACAUCACUCGUAUGUGAUUUCAUUGGGAGCACCGAAUUAUCCGCCAUGCUCGCGGUGUCAUCAUAUAAUAUAUGACGAAAGCAAGAAAGAAAGAAAGAGCUUCUUUCUUCUUCUUCUUCUUUGGUUGUAUUUUUUUUCUCUCUCUACACCCUGCAUCUGAGAUAGGCAAGAUCACCCGCUGAACUUAAGC
This 416-nucleotide unclassified non-coding RNA is filed under the name plant metagenome. RNAcentral's name for it is "partial contains 5.8S ribosomal RNA, internal transcribed spacer 2, and large subunit ribosomal RNA". The stretch from base 1 to 105 matches the Rfam family "5.8S ribosomal RNA", at positions 50 to 154 of the family's 154-position model. The record is from RNAcentral.